UACGUUUAAGGGAUUAGAGGGUAGUCCUUAUAAUGCUAUUUGUAAGUUUGUAUUUUAUCUUCUUCAUGCACUAGUACUGUUAAAAAUCAUAUGCCCUCAAACAAAGAUCAUAUUCUUUAUUUGCUACCAUCUCUCAUUCCAGAUCGUGAGAUUCAAUCCCUAAAAUUUUGAGCUUUUCACAAAUUUCUUCCUUAAUUCUGUCACAUCUUGCUUUCAUUUAAUUGAUUAUCAUCCUUUUGCCUGCGUAAUCUACUUAAGCUCUUUAUCUGAG
This 271-nucleotide unclassified non-coding RNA is filed under the name Hevea brasiliensis (rubber tree). The record is from RNAcentral. Lineage: Eukaryota; Viridiplantae; Streptophyta; Magnoliopsida; Malpighiales; Euphorbiaceae.